CAGUGGCGGACGGGUGAGUAACGCGUGAGCAACCUGCCCUUGUGUGGGGGACAACAGUUGGAAACGACUGCUAAUACCGCAUAACGUCAUGGGAUCGCAUGAUCUUGUGACCAAAGAUUUAUUGCGCAAGGAUGGGCUCGCGUUGGAUUAGAUAGUUGGUGAGGUAACGGCCCACCAAGUCGACGAUCCAUAGCCGGACUGAGAGGUUGAACGGCCACAUUGGAACUGAGAAACGGUCCAGACUCCUACGGGAGGCAGCAGUGGGGAAUAUCGGGCAAUGGGCGAAAGCCUGACCCAGCGACGCCGCGUGCGGGAAGAAGGUCUUCGGAUUGUAAACCGCUUUUAUUAGGGACGAAGCAUGACGGUACCUAAUGAAUAAGCCACGGCUAACUACGUGCCAGCAGCCGCGGUAAUACGUAGGUGGCAAGCGUUGUCCGGAUUUACUGGGUGUAAAGGGCGUGUAGCCGGGUCGGCAAGUCAGAUGUGAAAUCCACGGGCUCAACUCGUGAACUGCAUUUGAAGCUGCUGAUCUUGAGUAUCGGAGAGGCAAUCGGAAUUCCUAGUGUAGCGGUGAAAUGCGUAGAUAUUAGGAGGAACACCAGUGGCGAAGGGCGGAUUGCUGGACGACAACUGACGGUGAGGGCGCGAAAGCGUGGGGAGCAAACAGGAUUAGAUACCCUGGUAGUCCACGCUGUAAACGAUGAAUACUAGGUGUGGGAGGACUGACCCCUUCCGUGCCGCAGUUAACACAAUAAGUAUUCCACCUGGGGAGUACGACCGCAAGGUUGAAACUCAAAGGAAUUGACGGGGGCCCGCACAAGCAGUGGAUUAUGUGGUUUAAUUCGAAGCAACGCGAAGAACCUUACCAGGCCUUGACAUCGUGAUGACCGCCCCUUAAUCGGGGCUUCCCUUCGGGGCAUCACAGACAGGUGGUGCAUGGUUGUCGUCAGCUCGUGUCGUGAGAUGUUGGGUUAAGUCCCGCAACGAGCGCAACCCCUGCCUGUAGUAGCCAGCACGUUACGGUGGGAACUCUACAGGGACUGCCGGGGUCAACCCGGAGGAAGGUGGGGAUGACGUCAAAUCAUCAUGCCCCUUACGGCCUGGGCGACACACGUGCUACAAUGGCACAACAAAGAGACGCGAUCCCGCGAGGGGGAGCAAACCUCAAAAAUAGUGUCCCAGUUCGGACUGUAGUCUGCAACCCGACUACACGAAGCCGGAAUCGCUAGUAAUCGCGGAUCAGAAUGCCGCGGUGAAUACGUUCCCGGGUCUUG
RNAcentral lists this ribosomal RNA (1274 nucleotides) under uncultured bacterium. RNAcentral describes it as "partial 16S ribosomal RNA". It matches the Rfam family "Bacterial small subunit ribosomal RNA", at positions 93 to 1383 of the family's 1533-position model. The record is from RNAcentral.